UAAAAGUCGUAACAAGGUUUCCGUAGGUGAACCUGCGGAAGGAUCAUUACCUAGAGUUGUAGGCUUUGCCUGCUAUCUCUUACCCAUGUCUUUUGAGUACCUUACGUUUCCUCGGUGGGUUCGCCCACCGAUUGGACAAAUUUAAACCCUUUGCAGUUGAAAUCAGCGUCUGAAAAAACUUAAUAGUUACAACUUUCAACAACGGAUCUCUUGGUUCUGGCAUCGAUGAAGAACGCAGCGAAAUGCGAUAAGUAGUGUGAAUUGCAGAAUUCAGUGAAUCAUCGAAUCUUUGAACGCACAUUGCGCCCCUUGGUAUUCCAUGGGGCAUGCCUGUUCGAGCGUCAUUUGUACCUUCAAGCUCUGCUUGGUGUUGGGUGUUUGUCUCCUGUAGACUCGCCUUAAAACAAUUGGCAGCCGGCGUAUUGAUUUCGGAGCGCAGUACAUCUCGCGCUUUGCACUCAUAACGACGACAUCCAAAAGUACAUUUUUACACUCUUGACCUCGGAUCAGGUAGGGAUACCCGCUGAACUUAAGCAU
Molecule: ribosomal RNA, 537 nt
Filed under: Ampelomyces sp. F170
Lineage: Eukaryota; Fungi; Ascomycota; Dothideomycetes; Pleosporales; Phaeosphaeriaceae
Description: eukaryotic LSU rRNA
Rfam family: 5.8S ribosomal RNA (bases 191-344)
Source: RNAcentral